GACGUAGGGGGCAAGCGUUGUUCGGAAUUAUUGGGCGUAAAGCGCUCGUAGGCGGGACAGGAAGUUCGUGUUGAAAGACCUCGGCUCAACUGAGGGACCGGCUCGAAUACUCUUGUUCUUGAGGCAAUCAGAGGGUGAUGGAAUUCCCGGUGUAGCGGUGAAAUGCGUAGAUAUCAGGAGGAACACCGGUGGCGAAGGCGGGUCUCUGGGCCGAUACUGACGCUGAGGAGCGAAAGCGUGGGGAGCGAACAGG
Molecule: ribosomal RNA, 253 nt
Filed under: uncultured bacterium
Lineage: Bacteria
Description: partial 16S ribosomal RNA
Rfam family: Bacterial small subunit ribosomal RNA
Source: RNAcentral